This 273-nucleotide long non-coding RNA is filed under the name Homo sapiens (human). RNAcentral describes it as "HSALNT0367582". The record is from RNAcentral. Lineage: Eukaryota; Metazoa; Chordata; Mammalia; Primates; Hominidae.
CACAGUGGCUCAUGCCUGUAAUCUCAACGCUUUGGGAGGCCAAGGCUAGCAGAUUGCUUGAGCUCAGGAGUUCGAGACCAGGCUGGGCAACAUGGCAAAACCCCAUCUCUACAAAAAAUACAAAAAUUAGUCAGGUGUGGUGGCGUGUGCCUGUGGUCCCAGCUACUUGGGAGGAUGAGGUGGGCAGAUGGCUUGAGCCCAGGAGGUUGAAGCUGCAGUGAGCCAAGAUUGCGCCACUGCACUCCAGUAUGGGCAGCAGAGCGAGAUUCCGUC